RNAcentral lists this non-coding RNA (171 nucleotides) under human gut metagenome. RNAcentral's name for it is "Lysine riboswitch". It matches the Rfam family "Lysine riboswitch aptamer". From Rfam's summary of the family: Riboswitches are metabolite binding domains within certain messenger RNAs that serve as precision sensors for their corresponding targets. Allosteric rearrangement of mRNA structure is mediated by ligand binding, and this results in modulation of gene expression. This family includes riboswitches that sense lysine in a number of genes involved in lysine metabolism, including lysC. The record is from RNAcentral.
UCAGGUAGAGGCGCAAACAAGAUCAGUACUUCGCGAAGGAUUCCCGCUUAAACGGGUUCGCGGCGGAAAGGCGAGUUUGCCGAAAUCGUUUUUCCUUUUAAGGGGAAACGCGGUUGGGAAACGGAAAAACAUUCCGUUAACUGUCGCUUUUAUAAAGCGGAGAGCUAUCGA